CAAUCUGCCUUGGAGUGGGGAAUAACGGCUGGAAGCAGCCGCUAAUACCGCAUGACGCGUCUGGGAGGCAUCUCUCUGGACGCCAAAGAUUUAUCGCUCUGAGAUGAGCUCGCGUCUGAUUAGCUAGUUGGCGGGGUAACGGCCCACCAAGGCGACGAUCAGUAGCCGGACUGAGAGGUUGGCCGGCCACAUUGGGACUGAGACACGGCCCAGACUCCUACGGGAGGCAGCAG
Molecule: ribosomal RNA, 233 nt
Filed under: uncultured bacterium
Lineage: Bacteria
Description: partial 16S ribosomal RNA
Rfam family: Bacterial small subunit ribosomal RNA
Source: RNAcentral